CAGCAGCCACGGUAAUACGUAGGGUGCAAGCGUUGUCCGGAAUCAUUGGGCGUAAAGCGCGCGUAGGUGGCCAUUUAAGUCCGCUGUGAAAGUCAAAGGCUCAACCUUUGAAAGCCGGUGGAUACUGGAUGGCUAGAGUACGGAAGAGGCGAGUGGAAUUCCUGGUGUAGCGGUGGAAUGCGCAGAUAUCAGGAGGAACACCAAUAGCGAAGGCAGCUCGCUGGGACGUUACUGACACUAAGGCGCGAAAGCGUGGGGAGCAAACAGGAUUAGAUACCCCGGUAGUCCCUGUCUCUUAUAC
Molecule: ribosomal RNA, 301 nt
Filed under: uncultured bacterium
Lineage: Bacteria
Description: partial 16S ribosomal RNA
Rfam family: Bacterial small subunit ribosomal RNA
Source: RNAcentral